CAGCGCGCUGGCGGCGGGCCGGGAGCCGAUCGCCGCGCUGGCGGCGCGGCUGGGCUUCUCCGAGGACACCGCGUUCCACCGCGCGUUCCGGC
RNAcentral lists this transfer RNA (92 nucleotides) under Streptomyces rimosus subsp. rimosus. RNAcentral describes it as "tRNA-Ala(ggc)". Lineage: Bacteria; Bacillati; Actinomycetota; Actinomycetes; Kitasatosporales; Streptomycetaceae. The record is from RNAcentral.